CAGCAGAAGCCCCUAAGAUGCACAUCAACCCCUCCACCCCCACCUCCUGACCCUUGGCCAUAUUUCUUUUUCUCUUUAAAAUUUCCUUUGCUAUAAAUGAUGAGCUGCUUCAAAAUCUCCAGGGAUUGCCUAGGCCCUGGACCUUGCUAGGAAUUUUCUCUCAUUUUAGGUAUUAGUUAUUUCUUUUUUUCUGCUAGGUUUGGGGUUGCUUUGUUCUUUUUUUUUUUUUUUUUUUUUUUUUGUAGUUUAUC
This 251-nucleotide long non-coding RNA is filed under the name Homo sapiens (human). RNAcentral describes it as "non-protein coding lnc-DYNC2H1-2:1". The record is from RNAcentral. Lineage: Eukaryota; Metazoa; Chordata; Mammalia; Primates; Hominidae.